GACGAACGCUGGCGGCGUGCUUAACACAUGCAAGUCGAACGGUGAAGCGCCUUCCUUUUUGGUGGGUGUGGAUGAGUGGCGAACGGGUGAGUAACACGUGAGUAACCUGCCCCCUUCUUCUGGAUAACCGCAUGAAAGUGUGGCUAAUACGGGAUAUUCUGGGUCUGUCGCAUGAUGGGUCUGGGAAAGAUAUUGUUUCGGUGGGGGAUGGGCUCGCGGCCUAUCAGCUUGUUGGUGGGGUGAUGGCCUACCAAGGCGGUGACGGGUAGCCGGCCUGAGAGGGUGGACGGUCACACUGGGACGGAGACACGGCCCAGACUCCUACGGGAGGCAGCAGUAGGGAAUAUUGCACAAUGGGCGCAAGCCUGAUGCAGCGACGCCGCGUGAGGGAUGGAGGCCUUCGGGUUGUGAACCUCUUUCGCCAGUGAAGCAGGCCUGCCUCGUUUGUGGGUGGGUUGACGGUAGCUGGAGAAGAAGCGCCGGCUAACUACGUG
Molecule: ribosomal RNA, 494 nt
Filed under: uncultured bacterium
Lineage: Bacteria
Description: partial 16S ribosomal RNA
Rfam family: Bacterial small subunit ribosomal RNA
Source: RNAcentral